RNAcentral lists this ribosomal RNA (468 nucleotides) under uncultured bacterium. RNAcentral describes it as "partial 16S ribosomal RNA". It matches the Rfam family "Bacterial small subunit ribosomal RNA", at positions 28 to 507 of the family's 1533-position model. The record is from RNAcentral.
GACGAACGCUGGCGGCGUGCUUAACACAUGCAAGUCGAACGGAAAGUCCCUGCUUUUGUGGGGUGCUCGAGUGGCGAACGGGGGAGUAACACGUGAGUAACCUGCCCUUGACUUUGGGGUAACUUCAGGAAACUGUGGCUAAUACCGGAUAGGAGCUCCUGCUGCAUGGUGGGGGUUGGAAAGUUUCGGCGGUUGGGGGUGGACUCGCGGCUUAUCAGCUUGUUGGUGGGGUAGUGGAUUACCAUACCUUUGACCGGUAGCCUGCCUGUGAGGGUGAUCGGCCACAUUGGGACUGAGAUGCGACCCGGAUUCCUAUGGGAGGCAGCGGUGGGGAAGUUUGUACGAUGGGAGGAACGCUGACACAACGACGCAGCGUGCGGUAUGUGGUCCAUGGGGUUGUAAACCGCUUUGGCAUGUGACGAAGCGUGAGUGACGGUAGUGGGUAAAGAAGCACCGGCUAACUACGUG